Oryzias javanicus (javanese ricefish) is the source of this 2450-nucleotide long non-coding RNA. The record is from Ensembl. Lineage: Eukaryota; Metazoa; Chordata; Actinopteri; Beloniformes; Adrianichthyidae.
GUUAAACCAAAACAUCCUUUUUAGUUUUCAUUUAAACGUCAAAGUUCAGCUGAGUUCACGCUCGCCCAUAAUCCUGUGGUGGUUGACUGUAAUUACAGAGGACAUCGUCCUGACCAGAGGCCACGCCCCCUCCUCCCCUGACGUAGGUGAUGUAACCAUAAAGCAGCUUUGUUUGGUUCUGAUUUAUUUACAGCAGAAGUGAAGAGAAUCUGUGAAUGAUGGGAAGUUAUGAAAUGAUUGCAGCUUUUAUUGGUGUCAUUAGAGGUCAGAGGAAAACAGGAAGUGAUUGAGAGGAAGACAGGAAGUGAUUGAGAGGAAGACAGGAAGUGAUUGAGAGGAAAACAGGAAGUGUCUGAGGACACAACCUGCUGGACUGAGAAGAGAUGAGAUGAAAUAAAUCAUUUUCUGCUCUUUCUGAUUCCAGUUUGUAAAAGUUUUCUUCUUUCGUUUUUGCUGACUCCUCAGAAUUCUAAAGUAGACUUUUGAAAUAAAACUUUUGUGUUUUCCCAGAGUUGGGAUUCUUCCAAGAACAAAAGCUUUAUUCUUUUAUUUUUGGGAGCAGUCUGAUGAAUUAUUCAGGGCUGUUCUGGCGUUGUCACGGCGACUGUGAUGCUCAGAGCAGCUCUGUUCUGCUGUGUCAGAGCGGGCGUCACAGAGUUUGCACCAAAGCCAAAUCAGAUCAGACAAAGCCCGGCAGAGGAGCCGGCGUUCCCGACGGCGUUCCCGACGGCACAGCCUCUUUGCUCCGGAGAAGAUCCAGGAUGGACCGACCGGAUGGAGGGGAGACUCCUCUGUGGAAGAAGAUCAACAGAAUGUUGAGGUUCAGGAACCGUCACACUCAGGGAAUGCUGGGAAAUGGAGUCUUCAUGUCGUCAGAGGUCAGACAGCUCAGGGGUCUAUAAGCUGAUGCUAACGCUUAGAAAAAUGAUGUAAUCAUAGAAAAUGUUCAGUUUGACUUUCAUUCUGUAAAUCUGAUGCGGCUCUUACUUUACACACAGGAUGUCUUUUAUUUUGAAAAGAACUGGAUUUUUUAAAAAGGUUUGAAUAGAGAAAACACGAUUCAUCACUGCAAAACUAAACGUUAAAAACUAAAUUUCAUGACAGAGUCACCAAAUAAACCUAGAAACAUGUAUUCUUCUGAGCAGAGACGUGGACGUUUGAUGUGAGAAACUGGAUCUAAAGUCAGACCCAGAUCCUCCUCACGGUUCCACGGGUCCAUGAAGGUUCUGGUAGUGCCGGGUCAGCUCUGAGAGGUGAGAAGCUUUGUUUUAUGGGGAGAGACUCUGAUAACCUUCAUUCCUCAGCUGGAGGUUCUGCUCAGAAGCCAGGAGGAGGUGUCAUGGAUGUUUGAGGUCUGUGGACCUGCACGGAUUCCUUCUUCAUUCUUGAAAUAAAUGUUGUUAAUAAACAACUUAUGUAACAAACGUUUGAAUGCCAAGAAGAACAGGACAAACAUCCAGACUUACAUCCAGCUUUACAAACACGAAACUACUGAGUUUAUUACUGAAACAUGAACUUUUUAAAGACUAUUUACUGAAUUUUCCUUUUUUGUUUUGGUUCAUUUGAUCGUUACUGAUCAUUAAUUUAUGCAUCAAAACAUUUAAAUUUAGGCUUAAAGUUUGUUAAUGAAAAUGACAUUUCUGUUCGGGUCCAUUUAGAACACAGACGGUAGAAUCCUCCAGAACUGGAUCUAAACGUACCUGCCCAGUCUGAGUGACGCAGCGCAGAAAGCUCCUCCCACUUUUGCUCCUCCCCCUCCCUCCUCCUCCCCGUGUUGUCCAAACUUCAGGAGAACUCCUCGAACUUCGGCUCCUCCGCGUCGGUUCCGGUUUAUGAUGAGAAGAUGAGCGGCGGCGGGAGUCUGUCAGCGGACCGCGGAGUCCAGGACGGAACCGGAACCGAAACCGAGACCGGAACCGGGGCUGCGUCCGGCGGAGUGAGUGACGUUUCCAUGUCAGCGUGUGUUUAAGCCGCUCAUGUUCCGAAGGUCAAACUGAGAGGUCCAAACUCGGUUCUGGACUUUAAUGUUUUCUGAAAGAAUCCUGAAACCUGCUGUACAUCUGAGAGAUGUUCUGGUCCUGGUUCUUCUGGUCUAAGUCUAGUUCUGGUUCUGGUCAUGACCUUGGUCUUCACUCAAAUUCUGGUUCUGGUCUUGGUCCUGGUCUUAUCGCGGUCUUGCCCUGGUUCUGGUUCUGAUCUUUCAUUCCAUCCUCUAAAGUAGGAGAACCACAGAAGAACCUGUAGAUUCUGGACCUCUUGGGUCCAGAACUGAUGUUUUUCCACAUUCACAGGACUCUUGAGCUGUGAAGAAAUUAAAGAUCAGAACCAGGAACCCAUCAGAACCAGUGAAGCAGCUCAGAAUCGUCUCAUGGAUCUGCUUGCUGCAUGGAUCCUGAACCUCCUCUACGCAGAUGACACCUCUCUUCUGUUGUGACUGGAGGCCACGUUCC